GAUGAAGAACGUAGCGAAAUGCGAUAAGUAAUGUGAAUUGCAGAAUUCAGUGAAUCAUCGAAUCUUUGAACGCACAUUGCGCCCGCUGGUAUUCCGGCGGGCAUGCCUGUUCGAGCCUCAUUUCAACCCUCAAGCUCUCCGGAGUUUGGUGUUGGGGCGCCUGGGGCUUUUCGACCUCAGGGCCCUCAAGUCCAUCGGCGGGACCGCCAGGACACUGAGCGCAGUAGUAUUAUUUCGCUCGGUAGGAUCUUCCACGGCGGGUCGAUCUGGCCGCUAAACCCCCCAAUUCUCACCAAAGGUUGACCUCGGAUCAGGUAGGAAUACCCGCUGAACUUAAGCAUAUCAAUAAGCGGAGGA
Molecule: unclassified non-coding RNA, 357 nt
Filed under: soil metagenome
Description: partial contains 5.8S ribosomal RNA, internal transcribed spacer 2, and large subunit ribosomal RNA
Rfam family: 5.8S ribosomal RNA (bases 1-120)
Source: RNAcentral